This 1744-nucleotide long non-coding RNA is filed under the name Salmo salar (Atlantic salmon). RNAcentral's name for it is "lncRNA (ENSSSAG00000083320.1)". The record is from RNAcentral. Lineage: Eukaryota; Metazoa; Chordata; Actinopteri; Salmoniformes; Salmonidae.
UCUAGGAAGGAUCAUUGUAUUGUUGUAGACUAGUCUAGGGAGGAUCAUUGUAUAGUUGUAGACUAGUCUAGGGAGGAUCAUUGUAUUGUUCCAGACUAGUCUAGGGAGGAUCAUUGUAUUGUAGUAGACUAGUCUAGAGAGGAUCAUUGUAUUGUUGUAGAGUAGUCUAGGGAGGAUCAUUGUAUUGUAGUAGACUAGUCUAGAGAGGAUCAUUGUAUUGUUGUAGAGUAGUCUAGGGAGGAUCAUUGUAUUGUUGUAGACUAGUCUAGGGAGGAUCAUUGUAUUGUUGUAGACUAGUCUAGGGAUGAUCAUUGUAUUGUUGUAGACUAGUCUAGGGAGGGUCAUUGUAUUGUUGUAGACUAGUCUAGGGAGGAUCAUUGUAUUGUUGUAGACUAGUCUCGGGAGGAUCAUUGUAUUGUAUUGUUGUAGACUAGUCUCGGGAGGAUCAGUGUCUUGUUGUAGACUAGUCUCGGGAGGAACAUUGUAUUGUUGUAGACUAGUCAAGGGAGGAUCAUUGUAUUGUAUUGUUGUAGACUAGUCUCGGGAGGUUCAUUGUAUUGUUGUAGACUAGUCUAGAGAGGAUCAUUGUAUUGUAUUGUUGUAGACUAGUCUAGUGAGGAUCAUUGUAAUGUAUUGUUGUGGUCUAGUGAGAAUCAUUGUAUUGUAUUGUUGUAGACUAGUCUAGUGAGAAUCAUUGUAUUGUUAUAGACUAGUCUAGAGAGGAUCAUUGUAUUGUAUUGUUGUAGACUAGUCUCGGAAGGAUCAUUGUAUUGUUGUAGACUAGUCUCGGGAGGAUCAUUGUAUUGUAUAAUUGUAGACUAGUCUAGAGGAUCAUUAUUGUUGUAGACUAGUAUAGGGAGGAUUAUUGUAUUGUAUUGUUGUAGACUAGUCUAGGGAGGAUCAUUGUAGACUAGUCUAGGGAGGAACAUUGUAUUGUAUUGUUGUAGACUAGUCUAAGGAGGAUCAUUGUAUUGUUGUAGACUAGUCUAGGGAGGAUCAUUGUAUUGUAUUGUUGUAGACUAGUCUAGGGAGGAUUAUUGUAUUGUAUUGUUGUAGACUAGUGUAGAGGAUCAUUGUAUUGUUGUAGACUAGUCUAGGGAGGAUCAUUGUAUUGUUUUAGACUAGUCUAGGGAGGAUGAUUGUAUUGUUGUAGACUAGUCUAGGGAGGAUCAUUGUAUUGUUGUAGACUAGUCUAGGGAGGAUCAUUGUAUUGUUGUAGACUAGUCUAGGGAGGAUCAUUGUAUUGUAUUGUUGUAGAUUAGUCUAGGGAGGAUCAUUGUAUUGUAUUGUUGAAGACUAGUCUCGGGAGGAUCAUUGCAUUUUAUUGUUGUAGACUAGUCUAGGGAGGAUCAUUGUAUUGCAUUGUUGUAAAAUAGUGUUAGUGAGGAUCAUUGUAUUGUUGUAGACUAGUCUAGGGAGGAUCAUUGUAUUGUUGUAGACUAGUCUAGGGAGGAUCAUUGUAUUGUUGUAGACUAGUCUAGGGAGGAUCAUUGUAUUGUUGUAGACAAGUCUAGGGAGGAUCAUUGUAGGGAGGAUCAUUGCAUUUUAUUGUUGUAGACUAGUCUAGGGAGGAUCAUUGUAUUGUAAUGUUGUAGACUAGUCUAGGAAGGAUUAUUGUAUUGCAUUGUUGUAAAAUAGUGUAGGGAGGAUCAUUGUAUUGUUGUAGACUAGUCUAGGGAGGAUCAUUGUAUUGUUGUAGACUAGUCUAGGGAGGAUCAUUGUAUUGUUGUAGACUAGUCUAGGG